Molecule: ribosomal RNA, 445 nt
Filed under: uncultured bacterium
Lineage: Bacteria
Description: partial 16S ribosomal RNA
Rfam family: Bacterial small subunit ribosomal RNA
Source: RNAcentral
GUGAGGAAUAUUGGACAAUGGGCGCAAGCCUGAUCCAGCCAUGCCGCGUGCAGGAAGACGCAUCUAUGGUGUGGAAACUGCUUUUGUACGGGAAGAAACACUCCGUCGUGAGGGAGCUUGACGGUACCGUAAGAAUAAGGAUCGGCUAACUCCGUGCCAGCAGCCGCGGUAAUACGGAGGAUCCAAGCGUUAUCCGGAAUCAUUGGGUUUAAAGGGUCCGUAGGCGGUUUAAUAAGUCAGUGGUGAAAGCCCAUCGCUCAACGAUGGAACGGCCAUUGAUACUGUUAGACUUGAAUUACAAGGAAGUAACUAGAAUAUGUAGUGUAGCGGUGAAAUGCUUAGAUAUUACAUGGAAUACCAAUUGCGAAGGCAGGUUACUACUUGUGGAUUGACGCUGAUGGACGAAAGCGUGGGGAGCGAACAGGAUUAGAUACCCGGGUAGUCC